Molecule: ribosomal RNA, 253 nt
Filed under: uncultured bacterium
Lineage: Bacteria
Description: partial 16S ribosomal RNA
Rfam family: Bacterial small subunit ribosomal RNA
Source: RNAcentral
UACGUAGGGCGCAAGCGUUAUCCGGAAUUAUUGGGCGUAAAGAGCGUGUAGGCGGCCAGACAGGUCCGUUGUGAAAACUAGAGGCUUAACCUCUAGACGUCGAUGGAAACCGUUUGGCUAGAGUCCGGAAGAGGAGAAUGGAAUUCCUGGUGUAGCGGUGAAAUGCGCAGAUAUCAGGAAGAACACCCGUGGCUAAGGCGGUUCUCUAGUACGGUACUGACGCUGAGACGCGAAAGCGUGGGGAGCGAACAGG